Molecule: ribosomal RNA, 433 nt
Filed under: uncultured bacterium
Lineage: Bacteria
Description: partial 16S ribosomal RNA
Rfam family: Bacterial small subunit ribosomal RNA
Source: RNAcentral
AACGAACGCUGGCGGCAUGCCUAACACAUGCAAGUCGAACGAGACCUUCGGGUCUAGUGGCGCACGUGUGCGUAACGCGUGGGAACCUGCCCUUAGGUUCGGAAUAACUCCCCUAAAGGGAUGCUAAUGCCGGAUAAUGUCUUCGGACCAAAGAUUUAUGGCCUUUGGAUGGGCGCGCGUUGGUUUCGCUAGUUGGUAGGGUAAAAGCCUACCAACGCGACGAUCCUUAGCUGGUCGGAGAGGAUGAUCAGCCACACUGGAACUGAGACACGGCCCAGCCUCGUACGGGAGGCAGCAGUGGGGAAUAUUGGACAAUGGGCGAAAGCCUGAUCCAGCAAUGCCGGGUGAGUGAUGAAGGCCUUAGGGUUGUAAAGCUCUUUUACCCGGGAUGAUAAUGACAGUACCGGGAGAAUAAGCUCCGGCUAACUCCGUG